RNAcentral lists this ribosomal RNA (166 nucleotides) under uncultured Nitrospira sp. RNAcentral describes it as "partial 16S ribosomal RNA". It matches the Rfam family "Bacterial small subunit ribosomal RNA", at positions 128 to 284 of the family's 1533-position model. Lineage: Bacteria; Pseudomonadati; Nitrospirota; Nitrospiria; Nitrospirales; Nitrospiraceae. The record is from RNAcentral.
ACCCUCGAGAGGGGAAUAACUUGCCGAAAGGUGAGCUAAUACUCCGUACGCUUCCGGCUUUGCGAAGCCGGAAGGAAAGCUGUGCCGUUGGGUACGGCGCUCAAGGAUGGGCUCACGUCCUAUCAGCUUGUUGGUAGGGUAACGGCCUACCAAGGCAACGACGGGU